CUACCGUCACAACGGCUUCCUGACGUGACGCGUUUAACCAACGGAGCA
Pseudorhodobacter antarcticus is the source of this 48-nucleotide regulatory RNA element. It matches the Rfam family "SAM/SAH riboswitch aptamer". Lineage: Bacteria; Pseudomonadati; Pseudomonadota; Alphaproteobacteria; Rhodobacterales; Paracoccaceae. The record is from Rfam.